UAUUACCAGAAGCGACGGCGAGGAGUGAAGGUCAGACUAAAGAUCUUACCUCGACGAGCCGACGAGGUGGUGCAUGGCGGACCGUCAGCUCGUGGUGCGAACUAGUCCGGUUAAGUCGGUAACGAGCGAGACCUAUGAUAGUUGCAACCGGUCUAGCGAUAAACCGGGCACUCUAUUUGGACCGCCUCUGUUUAAAGAGGAGGAAGGAGGGGGCGACGAUACGUCAGUAUGCCCUGAAUCUCCUGGGCUACACGCGGCAUACAAAGGUCGAUACAAUGAGAUGCAAUGCCGAAAGGCAAAGCCAAACCCCUAAACGCCUAAGUUCGGAUUGAGGGCUGAAACUCGCCCUCAUGAAGAUGGGAUCCCCUAGUAAUCGCUUGUCCCUAUCGAGCGGUG
This 396-nucleotide ribosomal RNA is filed under the name uncultured prokaryote. Its description in RNAcentral is "bacterial SSU rRNA". It matches the Rfam family "Archaeal small subunit ribosomal RNA", at positions 925 to 1320 of the family's 1478-position model. The record is from RNAcentral.